Molecule: non-coding RNA, 210 nt
Organism: Pelobates cultripes (western spadefoot toad)
Lineage: Eukaryota; Metazoa; Chordata; Amphibia; Anura; Pelobatidae
Source: the annotation of a GenBank genome assembly
UUUUUACAUUUAUUUUUUAGUAGCAAUAUUACUUCCUAAGUAGAAAGUAGGUUUGCGCUCCCCCAUUGAAUCGUUUUUUUCUUUUCUUUUUUUACGGUUGCAUUCUCAGAAUCAAGUGUCAGUUUACAAUUACUUUUCCCUCAAUACCCUUUGUACAGCGCUACGGAAUCUGAUGGCGCUAUAUAUAUAAUAAAAUAAUAAUAAUAAUAC